Long non-coding RNA from Triticum aestivum (bread wheat), 1539 nucleotides. RefSeq lists it as uncharacterized. The transcript is spliced from 3 exons. Lineage: Eukaryota; Viridiplantae; Streptophyta; Magnoliopsida; Poales; Poaceae. The record is from RefSeq and is a predicted model, not a curated record.
UCCCCACGGUCCGCGCCUCCCUCCCCUCCGGCUAGAUUCUCUGUUCCCAGCCUCUACCACCCGCUCGCAACCCCACCUCCGUGGCUAGGGUUUCGGACAUGGCUUCAACGGCACGUCUCCGGCGGCCCUAGGUUAUGCAGUACUUGAAACACUUUAAUUAGAGGAAUUAGAGUUACAAAGUUCUGACUCGGUUCAUGGGGCAAUCUGAAAGAGAACUUGGUGAUGUCAAGUAAUUCUAAGAGCAUAGGCAUUAUCCUUUUUUUAAAUAAUGGUAAGAGCAUAGAUCCCAUCGACCAGGAAUUAAUCCAUCAGGCAAGCAGAAGACUGAACGAAACAGUACCUUCAUAUAUUAUUUCCAAGACCAUAAAUGUUGUUUUCUUUACUGUAAGGAACCAGCUUAAGGCCUUUAUGCAUUGAACGAACUACCAAGAUUUUUCUAUCUUCAUGUAUGAUCCAUCUUGCAUAGACACAUGCGUAGCAAUGGGAUACUAUUUGGUAUGAACAACAUCAUUAUCUUGCAAUUCUAACAUGUAUGCAUUUAACUUAUUUACACACAUAAUAGUGAUGCAUCUUGCGUAUCUGCUUAUUGUAUCUGAAUCUUCAAUGCAAUUAACUGCUUAAUUAGACAGCAGCAGGAUUGAGCGAUCUGGCAUAUAAGCUUUGCUCAGUGGUUCAGAUUAUCACAGUUAGUCUUCUGGUCUUGUCAAGUUUUUAGACUUAUUGAGGUCGCUCAACCAAUCUGGCGUAAAGCUAUGAAAAGAUUUUGCUUGGAAAGAUUACUGAAAGGAUACCUUCACUUCAUUUUAUCCCCUAGAUUAGUAUAAGUAUAUAUUAAGCCCCCGUUUAUUUAGAUGUAUAGCUUGCAUGGCAGUCUUGUUUAAACAGAUUUUUGGGGCAUUAAGCAAUGCAUACUCUGCUCACCAUUUUUCUCAUGUGUGUUGUUAGCCAAGCACUUGCUUUUCAAGAUAUCCUUUCCGAUGUUAGGCUGGGCUGCGUGAUUCGUCGAUGUCUGCUCAAUACAGUUGUGGUGAUCCCGGUGACGAGGACAUUAGGGACAUCGGCCCGGCGGAGUCUGGUGAGUCAGCUAUGAAGCCAAAUCCGCAGUCACCAAGGACCAGGGUGGAUCGAGAGAGUUCUUGUGGGAGCGAAUCCUACAGAGCGAACCCUAUGCCCCGUUAGUAUGGGUACUCUUGAGAAGUCCAUAAGGGCUUUCACAGAGGCAUGUAGAAGAGGUCGUUAAGCCGGAGUUGGGCACCACAUUUGCCUCGCUGACAGAGGCAUACGUCUUUUACAACCUGUAUUAGUGGGAAAAUGGGUUUAGUAUCAGGCAUGGGAAGAGCCGAUUGAAUCCCGACAAGCGGAAGACCAUGCAAGAGACUGUUUGUGGUUGCUCAGUAUGUAUAUCAAUUAAAAAUUCAGUUCUCCUUCACAUUUGCGCUGGAUGGAGGGUCUGGUCUGAUGAUAAAACAUCUGUUGGAGCAGGGGGAGGCUUUGCGUGAGAAUACAAGGUUGUGCCGCUGUGAGUGUCCUGCGAUGAUA